UGGGGAAUAUUGCACAAUGGGGGAAACCCUGAUGCAGCGACGCCGCGUGAAGGAAGAAGUAUCUCGGUAUGUAAACUUCUAUCAGCAGGGAAGAAUUAGGACGGUACCUGACUAAGAAGCCCCGGCUAACUACGUGCCAGCAGCCGCGGUAAUACGUAGGGGCAAGCGUUAUCCGGAUUUACUGGGUGUAAAGGGAGCGCAGGCGGUCUGGCAAGUCUGAUGUGAAAUCCCGGGGCUCAACCCUGGAACUGCAUUGGAAACUGUCAGACUAGAGUGCCGGAGAGGUAAGUGGAAUUCCUAGUGUAGCGGUGAAAUGCGUAGAUAUUAGGAAGAACACCAGUGGCGAAGGCGGCUUACUGGACGGUAACUGA
RNAcentral lists this ribosomal RNA (371 nucleotides) under uncultured Lachnospiraceae bacterium. RNAcentral describes it as "bacterial SSU rRNA". It matches the Rfam family "Bacterial small subunit ribosomal RNA", at positions 355 to 743 of the family's 1533-position model. The record is from RNAcentral. Lineage: Bacteria; Bacillati; Bacillota; Clostridia; Lachnospirales; Lachnospiraceae.